UACGUAUGGUGCAAGCGUUAUCCGGAUUUACUGGGUGUAAAGGGAGCGCAGGCGGCACGGCAAGCCUGAUGUGAAAGCCCGCGGCCCAACCGCGGGACUGCAUUGGGAACUACCGGGCUGGAGCGCCGGAGAGGUAGGCGGAAUUCCUAGUGUAGCGGUGAAAUGCGUAGAUAUUAGGAGGAACACCAGUGGCGAAGGCGGCUUACUGGACGGUGACUGACGCUGAGGCUCGAAAGCGUGGGGAGCAAACAGG
This 253-nucleotide ribosomal RNA is filed under the name uncultured bacterium. Its description in RNAcentral is "partial 16S ribosomal RNA". It matches the Rfam family "Bacterial small subunit ribosomal RNA", at positions 524 to 776 of the family's 1533-position model. The record is from RNAcentral.